GAGCAGAGCCAGCAACUGUUUUUGAUGUA
RNAcentral lists this non-coding RNA (29 nucleotides) under Homo sapiens (human). Lineage: Eukaryota; Metazoa; Chordata; Mammalia; Primates; Hominidae. The record is from RNAcentral.